Molecule: unclassified non-coding RNA, 329 nt
Filed under: soil metagenome
Description: partial contains 5.8S ribosomal RNA, internal transcribed spacer 2, and large subunit ribosomal RNA
Rfam family: 5.8S ribosomal RNA (bases 1-120)
Source: RNAcentral
GAUGAAGAACGUAGUGAAAUGCGAUAAGUAAUGUGAAUUGCAGAAUUCAGUGAAUCAUCGAAUCUUUGAACGCACAUUGCGCCCCUUGGUAUUCCGAGGGGCAUGCCUGUUCGAGCGUCAUUAUAACCCCUCAAGCUCAGCUUGGUGUUGGGGCCUGCUGCACUGGCAGCCCUUAAAAUCAGUGGCGGCGCCAUCUGGCUCUAAGCGUAGUAAUUCUUCUCGCUAUGGAGUCCUGGUGGAUGCUUGCCAUCAACCCCCAAUUUUUCUAUGGUUGACCUCGGAUCAGGUAGGGAUACCCCCUGAACUUAAGCAUAUCAAUAAGCGGAGGA